GCACGAGGAAGAAGAUAUAUCUAAAGAGUUCUUUUAAUGAUUCACAGGAGAAAAGGGCACAUCCAAACACAAUUCCAAAUAAUCGAGCAUUAAACAUCAAACAUUAUCAUUAAACAUCAAUAGCGGACAAAAAGGAACUGAACAGACAGGGUUUUUAAACACAAGGAAAGUAAUGAGGGGAAUGGAAACAGGUGGGGAUUAAUCAAUUAACAAAACGAGGAACGGAACAUGACCAAAUAGGGAUAACAGAAAAGGAACAGAAAGUCCAUGACUGUGACAGUUCGCCCCCUCCCGGAACGGUGCGUCCUCGCACCGAAAGAGAUAGUCCAGCGGAGGGAGGGUGGGGGUUCAGGAGGUGGGCGUGGGGCAGGCAAGGGGCGGGCAAUGGAGAAGGAGCAUGGAGCAUGGUACCAGGGUGGAGUGGAUGGAGGGAGGAGCCAUGGAGGAGCCCGGAGCAGUAGGAGCCAGAUGGAUAUCCAGAGGCCAGCCAGGAUAGCGGCCCAUGGUGGAGUCGACGGUGGGAGGAGCCAUGGUGGAGGAGGGGCCGACAACACCAGGGGGCCGACUGACGGAGACUGAGCCGAUGGUAGAGGAGUCCAAGACGGAGCCGAGCAACCGCAGAGCCAGGGUGACCCCGAGGAUCCGGAGGGCCAAGGCGGAGCAGAAGGCUCAGGCGACCAAGGCGGAGGCGGGGCACCGGAAGACCGCUGCGGAGCCGGAGUGACUGAGGAUGGAGGUGGAGCCGAAGGGAAGGAGGAGCCUGACAGAGCCGGAGGGAUGGAGCGACGAGGCGAAGCCAGAGGAAUGGAGUCCCGAGGCGGCGGAUGGUCGACGACUGACCAAGGUGGAGCCGGAGGGACGAGGGAGCCCGGUGGAGCAGGUGGGAUGCCGAGCCACGGUGGAGACGAGGGAGCUAGGAGCCAAGGCGGAGCCGCCGGGUCGAAGGACCGAGGAGGAGUCCAGGACUCGGAGGCUGGAGGCGGAGGCAGGGAAUCCACACGCCCAGGUGGAGGUGGUGACUGGAAGUCCUGCGGCGAAACUCCGCGCCCAGAUGGCGCGGACUGAGGGUGAGCUGCGGGACUGACUGGCAGCAGCGGGGAUGAGGACGAGGAACUGACAGGUCGAAGAGGAGGCGGGAGAGGGCGGAUGGGAGGGAACACAGAAGGAUCAGGGCUGGACGGAACCAGCGGAAAAACAGGAGAAUCAGGGCUGGGCGGAACCAGCGGAGAAACAGGAGGGUCGAGGCUGGGCGGAACCAGCGGAAGAGGAGCAGAGGAACUGACAGGUCGAAGAGGAGGCGGGAGAGGGAGGAUGGGAGGGAACACAGAAGGAUCAGGGCUGGACAGAACCAGCGAAGGAACAGAAGGAUUUGGAAUAACCUCCCCAAACCAGUCUAUUAGAUCCAUAAGUUCUUCUGUAUACUUCCCAGAAACCACAUGCAGCUCACCCUCAGUCGCAGGAGUGUGGGCGGGGCGCUCCUCCACGCCCUCGAUCUCCACCAAACGUCCCACGACGCACGGGGUUGCCGGCUCACACACCUGGUCAGUCGCGCUCUCGAGUUCCUCCUCCCUGUCGGCGAUAGGCUCGGGCUCUGCGGCUGCGGCGGUCUCUAGCUCCGUGCAGCGGGGUGAUGGCUGGCUGGUCUCUGGGUCGGGAGUGGGGCUGGAGAUCUCCUCCUCAGCG
This is a long non-coding RNA of Cyprinus carpio carpio, 1683 nucleotides long. Lineage: Eukaryota; Metazoa; Chordata; Actinopteri; Cypriniformes; Cyprinidae. The record is from Ensembl.